RNAcentral lists this ribosomal RNA (253 nucleotides) under uncultured bacterium. RNAcentral's name for it is "partial 16S ribosomal RNA". It matches the Rfam family "Bacterial small subunit ribosomal RNA", at positions 524 to 776 of the family's 1533-position model. The record is from RNAcentral.
UACGAACUGUGCGAACGUUAUUCGGAAUCACUGGGCUUACAGGGUGCGUAGGCGGCUUUUCAAGUCAGGUGUGAAAGCCCCCGGCUCAACCGGGGAAUUGCGCUUGAAACUGGAGAGCUCGAGUCAGCUAGAGGUGCACGGAACUUCCAGUGGAGCGAUGAAAUGUGUUGAUAUUGGAAGGAACACCGGAGGCGAAAGCGGUGCACUGGGGCUGGUCUGACGCUGAGGCACGAAAGCCAGGGUAGCGAACGGG